UACGUAGGGGGCAAGCGUUGUCCGGAUUUACUGGGCGUAAAGAGCGGCGUAAGGCGGAAAUUUAAGCGUGGCCUUGAAAGCCCCCGGCUCAACCGGGGAGUGACGGCUGCGAACUGGGUUUCUUGAGGACGAUAGAGGAGAGUGGAAUUCCGUGGUGUAGCGGUGGAAAUGCGUAGAUAUCAAGGAGGAACACCCGAGGCGAAGGCGGCGUCUCUGGGUCGU
Molecule: ribosomal RNA, 222 nt
Filed under: uncultured bacterium
Lineage: Bacteria
Description: partial 16S ribosomal RNA
Rfam family: Bacterial small subunit ribosomal RNA
Source: RNAcentral